UGUGGCAGCCAUUUUAAAUCUCUGGCCACCCAUAUAAAUAGAUCAUUUGCCUGCUGGCAGGGAAGGCAGCAACACUGCCUGGCUGUGAGGCUUUGUGCAUCAUCCUGGAGGAAGAAAAUAUGAAAUCACUGAAGGAGAAUCAAGACUCUAAUGACUUGGAACUAUGACACAUCUAAAAGCCUUCUAAAGUUUUAUCCAAACAGUUCCAUUUUUCCUGAAUGCUUCUAACUCCUACUCACAUCAUUUGGACAACACUAAAGCUAGAACUUUUAAGUAGAGAGGCUAUGCAUCAGUUGACAACAGGAAGACUCAAAAAGAAGUAUGGGAUGCACAAGGUUCUUGGAGCCCUAGAUGGACCCUAACCAAAACUCUAAGGCUCUAAGUGGUAAAGACUGGGCAGGGCACACAGCCCACCCUGCCUACUGAAUCAUCCAGACUGACAAGAGGAGGUGUAAAAACUCUGCCUGUGUUUCUUCUACCACACACUCCUAGCUUUACAAAAGAGAGCUUUUUUCACAGGUGGGGGUUACUGAGCCAUGAAAACUCUUGAUCACAGCUAUGAAUGCAUCAAGGCAACGUGUCAAUUCCAUGUGGUAUAAUUUAGAAAUUAAUUGGAUGGUGAAACAAACCAGCCCAAAUGAUGACUCUUUCCUCAGAUGCACAAUAUAACUGACUAUCUGAGCCUACCUGUGGUUUAAAAAUAAAGUUGUAAACUUUACAAAAUUGAGUCACACACAGGUUACUUAUUCCAAAAUGUUGUAUUUUGUUUGUUCUUGUUUUACUUCUUUAGGCUAGAAUUGUUACAUGAACCUUCUAUUUGUUUAGAUGUGGAGAGACACCACAAACUAUUAAAGUCUUAGCUAUAUCAGCAUGUAUGUAUGUAAUUAGACUGUGUAUUUUUAAACCUGUGGCCCUGCAGCAAUGGUUGAUUAGAAGAACAUGAAUUUAGCAUCUGCAGAAUAAUUGUGCCUAGGACAAUACUUGACCAAAUGUAAUUAGCUGAAUUUAGAUAAAUUCUCACUCUGCCUUUCAGCAACCUGAAUAGAAAAAUCAUACACUUCAUUGGGUAUAAAUAGGUUUCAAAAUGAACAUUUGGAUUGUAUGAGAAUAUUUUUAAAGGAUAAUAGACCUAAGGUUUUAGACUAUGUAAUAAAGUAUAGGA
Molecule: long non-coding RNA, 1162 nt
Organism: Alligator mississippiensis (American alligator)
Lineage: Eukaryota; Metazoa; Chordata; Crocodylia; Alligatoridae
Exons: 4
Source: RefSeq, a predicted model, not a curated record